This 847-nucleotide long non-coding RNA is filed under the name Sarcophilus harrisii (Tasmanian devil). RNAcentral's name for it is "lncRNA (ENSSHAG00000027299.1)". The record is from RNAcentral. Lineage: Eukaryota; Metazoa; Chordata; Mammalia; Dasyuromorphia; Dasyuridae.
GCUAGUUCUGUAGCAAGUCAAAGGAUUUGAUCUUCCAAAUCCAGAGUGGUUCCUGAACUAGUAAGAAAUCCAGAGAGCCAGGAAUAGCACAGGACUGAAGGAUUGAGAGUUGCAAGGGACCAUAGGGACUGAUCUUGUCCAACUCUCUCAAUUUUUAUAGUUAAGAAAAUUUAUGUUCAGAGGCAAGGUGGUUUAUACCUGGUGACAUAAACAGUAAGCAGCUGAGCUGGGAUUUCAACUCAGGUUCUGACUUUAUAUCUAGUGCUUUUUUAAAAACUUCCAACAGAAGCAUUCGCUGGCCCAAGGAGCUGACAAUUGUCCCUACUCCAUUAAGUGGCUCACUUUGCUCUGCUCCCAGCAGAAUCUCAGAGGAAGAAAGGAACCUUGGAAACCACCUCCAAUUCUUACCUGAACAAGACUCUGCUCUCUCACAUCCCUAACAAGUGGUCAACCAGCCAAGGCUAGAGCCAAGCUCAGAGACCCACAGAGAAGGAGAAUGCACCUUCCUGAGACAGCUCAAGAUCAUGAGUGCCUUUCUUUGUAUUCUUAGAACUUACCACAGUGCCUGGAACACAAGAUAAUCCAUGUGCCAGAACAAUGUAAAAGUCAUCACGCUGUAAAAGUCAUCACACUGUACAAGUAGAAAGGAAAUUGGACUAAUCAUGUAGUGAAUAAGAGAAGUGACAGAUGGCUAACCCCAUUAAUAUACAGGUACUUCUGAGAUGUUAAAAGAACAAAAGACAGCCCUCCAAAGUAUGAGGUGGAUUCCCUAUGGAGGAUUAAUGAGAAUACAUGGGUAAGAAUUAUAAAAGAUCAGGAGCUAUAGAAAUUAUAGUCUCAAUUAGUG